GAUGAACGCUAGCUACAGGCUUAACACAUGCAAGUCGAGGGGUUUUUGAUUAGAAGCUUGCUUUUGAUUAGAAACGACCGGCGCACGGGUGAGUAACGCGUAUCCAACCUGCCUCUCAUAUUGGGAUAGCCUUUUGAAAGAGAGAUUAAUACCGAAUAACAUAUUGAGUUUGCAUGAAAUCAAUAUGAAAGCUCCGGCGAUGAGAGAUGGGGAUGCGUUUCAUUAGGUAGUAGGCGGGGUAACGGCCCACCUAGCCGACGAUGAAUAGGGGUUCUGAGAGGAAGGUCCCCCANACUGGAACUGAGACACGGUCCAGACUCCUACGGGAGGCAGCAGUGAGGAAUA
This 345-nucleotide ribosomal RNA is filed under the name uncultured bacterium. Its description in RNAcentral is "bacterial SSU rRNA". It matches the Rfam family "Bacterial small subunit ribosomal RNA", at positions 28 to 363 of the family's 1533-position model. The record is from RNAcentral.